This 665-nucleotide ribosomal RNA is filed under the name Escherichia coli. RNAcentral describes it as "partial 23S ribosomal RNA". It matches the Rfam family "Bacterial large subunit ribosomal RNA", at positions 1273 to 1923 of the family's 2925-position model. Lineage: Bacteria; Pseudomonadati; Pseudomonadota; Gammaproteobacteria; Enterobacterales; Enterobacteriaceae. The record is from RNAcentral.
CUGGAGGUAUCAGAAGUGCGAAUGCUGACAUAAGUAACGAUAAAGCGGGUGAAAAGCCCGCUCGCCGGAAGACCAAGGGUUCCUGUCCAACGUUAAUCGGGGCAGGGUGAGUCGACCCCUAAGGCGAGGCCGAAAGGCGUAGUCGAUGGGAAACAGGUUAAUAUUCCUGUACUUGGUGUUACUGCGAAGGGGGGACGGAGAAGGCUAUGUUGGCCGGGCGACGGUUGUCCCGGUUUAAGCGUGUAGGCUGGUUUUCCAGGCAAAUCCGGAAAAUCAAGGCUGAGGCGUGAUGACGAGGCACUACGGUGCUGAAGCAACAAAUGCCCUGCUUCCAGGAAAAGCCUCUAAGCAUCAGGUAACAUCAAAUCGUACCCCAAACCGACACAGGUGGUCAGGUAGAGAAUACCAAGGCGCUUGAGAGAACUCGGGUGAAGGAACUAGGCAAAAUGGUGCCGUAACUUCGGGAGAAGGCACGCUGAUAUGUAGGUGAAGUCCCUCGCGGAUGGAGCUGAAAUCAGUCGAAGAUACCAGCUGGCUGCAACUGUUUAUUAAAAACACAGCACUGUGCAAACACGAAAGUGGACGUAUACGGUGUGACGCCUGCCCGGUGCCGGAAGGUUAAUUGAUGGGGUUAGCGCAAGCGAAGCUCUUGAUCGAAGCCCCGG